AUAGAGAGUCUGACCUGCCCGGUGAUGUAGGAAUUAAACGGCCGCAGUACCCUGACUGUGCAAAGGUAGCAUAAUCAUUUGCCUUUUAAUUGAGGGCUAGUAUGAAAGGUUUGACGUGGACUAAGCUGUCUCCUGAGGAUUAUAUAGAAAUUAAUUUUUAGGUGAAAAAGCCUAAAUUUGGUUAUGGGACGAGAAGACCCCGUUGAGCUUUAACUAAACCUGAAAAUAGGGAAAACUGUGAGAUGUAUUGAACUAAUUUUCAGGGUGUUUUUCGUGGGGGAAAACGGAGGAAUAAAUAGAGCUUCCUUUUUUAAGAAAAAUUGGAUUAUGCCAAAGGUGUAAGUAUAUUUUGUUAUUUGUUUAAGGCUGAUGUGCAAAGGUUUAAUAAAAGGAUCCGUUGAAGAAAUGAAGACGAUUAAGGGAGAGAGUUACCACGGGGAUAACAGCGUAAUUUCUUCUGGAGAGUUCAUAUUGAAGGAGGGGUUUGCGACCUCGAUGUUGGAUUAAGACAUCCUGAAGGUGUAGCAGCUUCAAGGG
Molecule: ribosomal RNA, 537 nt
Filed under: Lepetodrilus gordensis
Lineage: Eukaryota; Metazoa; Mollusca; Gastropoda; Lepetellida; Lepetodrilidae
Description: partial 16S ribosomal RNA
Rfam family: Bacterial large subunit ribosomal RNA
Source: RNAcentral